UACAGAGGGGGCAAGCGUUAUUCGGAAUUAUUGGGCGUAAAGGGCGCGUAGGCGGUUUCUUAAGUGAGAUGUGUAAUCCCCGGGCUUAACCUGGGAACUGCAUCUCAUACUGGGGGGCUAGAGUACUGGAGAGGGUGGUAGAAUUCCACGUGUAGCGGUGAAAUGCGUAGAGAUGUGGAGGAAUACCAGUGGCGAAGGCGGCCACCUGGACAGUAACUGACGCUGAGGCGCGAAAGUGUGGGGAGCAAACAGG
This 253-nucleotide ribosomal RNA is filed under the name uncultured bacterium. RNAcentral's name for it is "partial 16S ribosomal RNA". It matches the Rfam family "Bacterial small subunit ribosomal RNA", at positions 524 to 776 of the family's 1533-position model. The record is from RNAcentral.